RNAcentral lists this ribosomal RNA (467 nucleotides) under uncultured bacterium. RNAcentral describes it as "partial 16S ribosomal RNA". It matches the Rfam family "Bacterial small subunit ribosomal RNA", at positions 28 to 506 of the family's 1533-position model. The record is from RNAcentral.
GACGAACGCUGGCGGCGUGCUUAACACAUGCAAGUCGAACGGAAAGGCCCUGCUUUUGUGGGGUGCUCGAGUGGCGAACGGGUGAGUAACACGUGAGUAACCUGCCCUUGACUUUGGGAUAACUUCAGGAAACUGGGGCUAAUACCGGAUAGGAGCUCCUGCUGCAUGGUGGGGGUUGGAAAGUUUCGGCGGUUGGGGAUGGACUCGCGGCUUAUCAGCUUGUUGGUGGGGUAGGGGCUUACCAAGGCUUUGACGGGUAGCCGGCCGGGGAGGGUGACCGGCCCCAUGGGGAGUGGGAGAGGACCCAGACCCCUGCGGGGGGAAGAGGGGGGGAAUAUGGCACAAGGGGCGGAGGCCGAAUGCAGAGACGCCGGGUCGGGAAAGUCGGCUUUGGGGUUGUAACCCGUUUUCCCGUGGGACGGCGCGUGGGGGAGGUAAAUGGGUAAAGAAGCACCGGUAACUUACGG